RNAcentral lists this long non-coding RNA (1764 nucleotides) under Eucalyptus grandis. Its description in RNAcentral is "long non-coding RNA (EGRA_LNC000441)". Lineage: Eukaryota; Viridiplantae; Streptophyta; Magnoliopsida; Myrtales; Myrtaceae. The record is from RNAcentral.
AAGAACACAGAAACCACCGAGGGUGGAGAACUUGGUCUACUUCGACCAGGUAGAUUUCCAUCUGCAAAAGGAAGACAUGGAAAAAAAUGACAUUGCAUGAGUUAUGUUCUCACGCAAUUUUUUCAUGAAAGUUCCUAAAUUAUGUGAUAAGGGUCAAAGCCUUCCUCAACCGGCCACUAAAUGACGUUUUCACAUUGCGACAUUGCAAUUCAUUGGUAUAUAUAAUUAUGCUUUAUAGUUGGCGUUUAAAAGAAGAAAUAUACCGUCAUGGUUUGCGGUACUAGAAAAUGGUUUUUGAUUUGUCAUGUAAUGCUGGAACACUAAUGGCUAAUUAUAUGAUAUCGCCUUUAUUAACGCAUUAUAAUUUAUAUAUUUACUCAAUAUAUUUAUGGGAAAAUAAUUUUUUUGCUAGUAUAUAAGUAGCCUACAAUAUCAUGAUCCUUUCUGUCAUUUGUUUUGCUAUUGUAUUUCACCUUGGGUAACAUAAGAAUUAACUUUCAGAUGAAUUGAGCAAUACCCUACUCAUAAACAAUGUUCAACUUAGGAAUAACAUGAUUUUUUCAUCUAUAAAGUGUGCAUGAAAAUGUUGAUUUUCGUGAAACUAUCAUUGGAAAUACAUUUUGUUAUGCAAAAGAGAAAAGAAAAACAUAAGGUAUAAAUAUCUCAAUUAAUUGUAGAGUUCUAGUUGUUGGAUUUUAAAUAAUAAUAAUAAAACAUUAUAUGUCCUAGAGUAUGAUAUGAGAUUAGUACAUUGAAAAAGCAUUAUAUUUUAAUUAGCCGCUUAAUAAGCUUUGUAGUAAUAAACAAGAUGGAAAUUAUACAGUAUCAGGUGUGCAUAUUCCGUCAUUUUACUAAAGAGUGCAUGUGGAACAAAUUCGACGUUGUUAAGGUAAAAUCUAGAAGUGGCAGUGACAAAAUUUACCUAAAUUGUAUUAAAAGAGUUUGCAUACAAUAAAUUUAACUAUUUUAGUUAUAAUACUUUGUAAAAAUAUUAUAUUUGAGAACAAGGUCAUGCUUUUCAAUGAUGAGUCAAAACAAUAUUGUAUUUUACUUGUGUGAAUGGGAUCUGAUGCCGUCCACGAUGCGCGUGGAAAAUGGCGGUCUCUCUCUAGAAAAGCCUUUGAAGUCAAGCUUGGCUGCUCUGUCAUAAGUUUGUGGGCUCUCUUCUGUGUAUGAUGGUUUUCCAGCACAACGAUUUCCUGGUUGCUCUCUCUGAUAUGUCUGUGUGCUCUUCAACGUCACUCAAUUUCGGGGAACACAGCAUCGUCUUCCACAGGUCUUCCCUCCAUGAUCAACAGCAAACUUUAGCAGCGCCGCCUCCCAUGGCGAUCCUACUAUCAUCCGCCCGGCUCGACAUUUUUGCAGACCCCAGAGAUUAUCUCGAGUCGGGCGGCCUUUCCUUCCCUGCAGUACGGUCAAUUCUCCAGCGUCUCUCUCUCCCUCUCUCUCAAUUUUGUUUUCUUUGUUUUUUCCACGAAAGGAAGUCCGUGCUCAGUUUCUCGGAAAAGUUUUCCUUCAUUGAUGAAAGAUGAACCGGGAAAGAGAGGGGAAACGAAGAAAAGAUCCUUGCGCCCAGAGUUGCAAUUCUUUUGUUAGUGCGGAGAAGUUUCAAAUUUUGUGUUUGAUUCAUGAGGUGGGUAUGUCGAUUUUCCAAGGCAUUUGAUUUCUUGUUUCAUCAUUUUUUAUUUGCGUAAAACAAAGGAUCGAGCAAUAAAAUAAAUAGAACCAUAAAAUAAAUUGGACAUUGGGUAUGCUUAGUUCGAU